RNAcentral lists this ribosomal RNA (450 nucleotides) under uncultured bacterium. RNAcentral's name for it is "partial 16S ribosomal RNA". It matches the Rfam family "Bacterial small subunit ribosomal RNA", at positions 354 to 796 of the family's 1533-position model. The record is from RNAcentral.
GUGGGGAAUAUUGCACAAUGGGCGCAAGCCUGAUGCAGCCAUGCCGCGUGUAUGAAGAAGGCCUUCGGGUUGUAAAGUACUUUCAGCGAGGAGGAAGGCAUUAAGGUUAAUAACCUUAGUGAUUGACGUUACUCGCAGAAGAAGCACCGGCUAACUCCGUGCCAGCAGCCGCGGUAAUACGGAGGGUGCAAGCGUUAAUCGGAAUUACUGGGCGUAAAGCGCACGCAGGCGGUCUGUCAAGUCGGAUGUGAAAUCCCCGGGCUCAACCUGGGAACUGCAUUCGAAACUGGCAGGCUAGAGUCUUGUAGAGGGGGGUAGAAUUCCAGGUGUAGCGGUGAAAUGCGUAGAGAUCUGGAGGAAUACCGGUGGCGAAGGCGGCCCCCUGGACAAAGACUGACGCUCAGGUGCGAAAGCGUGGGGAGCAAACAGGAUUAGAAACCCGAGUAGUCC